Antechinus flavipes (yellow-footed antechinus) is the source of this 1189-nucleotide long non-coding RNA. RefSeq lists it as uncharacterized. The record is from RefSeq and is a predicted model, not a curated record. Lineage: Eukaryota; Metazoa; Chordata; Mammalia; Dasyuromorphia; Dasyuridae. The transcript has 4 exons.
CUUGACUGCCCGCCUUGGCUCCUCCCAGUCAUCUCUCCUCGCUCUCGCAUUCGCCAAAUCUCCAGCCAGCCCUGCCUCCUCGGACAAGCAGGAGCCAACCAAUGGAGAAUACUGCCACAAGAAAAGGAUGAGACACCUAGUCUUCUGUCCCCACCCAGGCAACUCCCAAGCUUCUCCCUUAAAAGGCACUAGCACGAGGCCCUGCCACAGAUUUGGGAGGUGAUACAGGAGAAGAAGGAAGAGGAAUGGGAGACCAAAGGACACUGACCUGCCUUCUGGAGAAAAAAGUGACAGGCUUUCCCUCCCAUUCAACCCAGAUUAAAGUUGCUCCCUUAGGAAAAGGUUCCCUGGCCUUCUCCUGUCCAGAAUCAGACUUUUACUCCAUCUUCACUCAUCAAUCCCUCGGUGCUGCCUUUCUGUAUUCCCUCUCUCCCUUUCUGCCUCCUCUUUAGAUUUUAAGCUCUUCAAGAAAACGAAUGGUCUCUUGUCUGCAUUGUCAUCCCCAGCUGAGUACAAAUUCUCCUGGACCAUCUGGAAACUUCAUAAAGCUAAGGUGGUUUUUUGAGUCCCCAAUCUGAUUACUACAAAAUGAAUCAGCUAGUGAACUCCAAGACAUUGUCUCUGAACCUCUACUUUGCAUUGAUUUCACUUUCCCCUAUAUUAUUUUCAUAUUUGGUUCAUUUGUCCUUCUUCCUCAGUAGACUAUAAAUUAAUUUAGAACUGGGCCUGUGCCAUGAUUAUCUUAGUAACCCUGAUGCCCUACUGUGCUUUGCACAUAGAACUUUUUAAAUGUUUUUUAAUUUGAAUCCAUAUCUUUCUCCAGUCAAUGAGCUCCAUAAGGGACCUAUAUGUUUUUUAUCUUUGUGUUUUUAUCUACUGCAAAAAGCAGACCUUCACAUCUAUGUUCAAUAGAACCUCGGAGUUAGAAGAGACUUAAGAACAUCUCACUGAAGAAUAAUGGUUCAUAUUUCUAAAGCAAUUUAAGAUUUCUGCUACAUUGUCAACAACCGUCUAUGAGAAGGUAAUGCCAGGAUUAUCAUUCUAUUUUGCAUAUAAGGAAACUGUGAACCAGAAAAAUGAAAUAACAUGACCAAGCUCAAGGAUAUGAACACAGAAGUCUCUUGAUUCCCAGUUACGUACAUUUUUUUCACACAUAUUUUCCCCUCUUUCUCCUCAUCCCUUCCCUUAG